This 495-nucleotide ribosomal RNA is filed under the name uncultured bacterium. RNAcentral's name for it is "partial 16S ribosomal RNA". It matches the Rfam family "Bacterial small subunit ribosomal RNA", at positions 28 to 523 of the family's 1533-position model. The record is from RNAcentral.
GAUGAACGCUAGCGGCAGGCCUAAUACAUGCAAGUCGAGGGGUAUCCCGCUUUCGGGCGGGAGAGACCGGCGCACGGGUGCGUAACGCGUAUGCAACCUACCCAUAUCUGGGGGAUAGCCCGGAGAAAUCCGGAUUCACACCGCAUAACAUCACAGUACGGCAUCGUACAAUGAUCAAAUAUUGAUAGGAAAUGGAUGGGCAUGCGUGUAAUUAGCUGGUUGAGGGGGUAACGGCCCACCAAGGCGACGAUGACUAGGGGAUCUGAGAGGAUGGCCCCCCACACUGGUACUGAGACACGGACCAGACUCCUACGGGAGGCAGCAGUAAGGAAUAUUGGUCAAUGGGCGGAAGCCUGAACCAGCCAUGCCGCGUGCAGGAAGACGGCCCUCUGGGUUGUAAACUGCUUUUAUUCGGGAAUAAACCUGCAUACGUGUAUGCAGCUGAACGUACCGAAGGAAUAAGGAUCGGCUAACUCCGUGCCAGCCGCCGGGUAA